Molecule: long non-coding RNA, 928 nt
Organism: Daphnia magna
Lineage: Eukaryota; Metazoa; Arthropoda; Branchiopoda; Diplostraca; Daphniidae
Exons: 6
Source: RefSeq, a predicted model, not a curated record
GGGUGUUUGUUACGUUACGCUGUUAUGUGUUUCAAAGGAUUUUUCGUCAAAAAAUUUACGCUAUGCCAGCUGCUGAACCAGCAGCCUGCAUUCCUGCUAUCAAUGUACCACAAAAGAUCCUGACACUUUGAGAAGGCCACUAUUGCUUACAUGAAGAUCACCAUCCAGUUCAAGUACUGUUAAUGGACCUCAAGCCUUUUGUUUAAGCUUAGUGAUGUGUUCUCUCAUCAGUCAGCGACAGAGUCUUCAUCUACUUUGUGUUGCUAACCAUCCACCCUCAGCAUCCCAGGUAUCCAGAUUUCCAAGUUUCUCUGAUUAGCCAACCAUCAUCAAAACCCUUCAGCUCUUCAAUGUGGCUUCUCCUUCUCUCUUCUUAAUCUGCUGAAUGCCAACAUUGAAUAAGAUUCAUCCUCAUUGCCUUUCCAUGCCAGCUCACAUGGAUAGGCUUUAACAACAUCUCCAUUUUUUGGACUGCAAAUAUUCAUCUUCCUUCGGUACGACACUGCCGUUUUGACAAUUUCGGUAGUUUCGCCCCCAGUGGACCACACGUAACUACAUUUUCUUCGUCUUCCUGUCGUUGUUGUCUACGACUUCACCUCAUCGCUGUCUUCGUUGAUGUCUUCGCCUUCAUCUCCGUCUCGUCGUCUUAGUCGUCUUCUCCUUCAUCUCCGUCUCGUCGUCUUAGUCAUCUUCGCCUUCACCUCCGUCUCGUCGUCUUCGCCGUCUUUGUCUACGCCAUCACCUCGUCGCCGGCUUCUCUUUCGCCCUUCACGUUGGGAAUUCACCGUGGAUAUUCGCUCUGGUAUUGUUUUGUUUUACAUUAUUAUGUUUAAGUUAACCCGUUGGCUGCCACCCCGUUUGCGUCCCAUUUUUUUUGUAGCUUGUAGGGACCGGCCGCAAUGGCCUUCGCCGCAAGGCGCUUUAGGCA